RNAcentral lists this ribosomal RNA (253 nucleotides) under uncultured bacterium. Its description in RNAcentral is "partial 16S ribosomal RNA". It matches the Rfam family "Archaeal small subunit ribosomal RNA", at positions 474 to 727 of the family's 1478-position model. The record is from RNAcentral.
UACCAGCACCCCGAGUGGUCGGGACGAUUAUUGGGCCUAAAGCAUCCGUAGCCGGUUUUACAAGUCCUCCGUUAAAUCCAGCUGCUUAACAGAUGGGCUGCGGAGGAUACUAUAAGACUAGGAGGCAGGAGAGGCAAGCGGUACUCAGUGGGUAGGGGUAGAAUCCGUUGAUCCAUUGAAGACCACCAGUGGCGAAGGCGGCUUGCCAGAAUGCGCUCGACGGUGAGGGAUGAAAGCUAGGGGAGCAAACCGG